This 253-nucleotide ribosomal RNA is filed under the name uncultured bacterium. Its description in RNAcentral is "partial 16S ribosomal RNA". It matches the Rfam family "Bacterial small subunit ribosomal RNA", at positions 524 to 776 of the family's 1533-position model. The record is from RNAcentral.
UACGUAGGGGGCAAGCGUUGUCCGGAAUUAUUGGGCGUAAAGAGCGUGUAGGCGGUCCGGUAAGUCAGCUGUGAAAGUCAAGGGCUCAACCCUGGAAUGCCGGUUGAUACUGUCGGGCUAGAGUCCGGAAGAGGCGAGUGGAAUUCCCGGUGUAGCGGUGAAAUGCGCAGAUAUCGGGAGGAACACCAAUGGCGAAGGCAGCUCGCUGGGACGGUACUGACGCUGAGACGCGAAAGCGUGGGGAGCAAACAGG